AUUGAACGCUGGCGGCAUGCCUUACACAUGCAAGUCGAACGGCAGCACGGGAGCAAUCCUGGUGGCGAGUGGCGAACGGGUGAGUAAUAUAUCGGAACGUGCCCAGUCGUGGGGGAUAACGUAGCGAAAGCUACGCUAAUACCGCAUACGAUCUAUGGAUGAAAGCGGGGGAUCGCAAGACCUCGCGCGAUUGGAGCGGCCGAUAUCAGAUUAGGUAGUUGGUGAGGUAAAGGCUCACCAAGCCGACGAUCUGUAGCUGGUCUGAGAGGACGACCAGCCACACUGGGACUGAGACACGGCCCCAGACUCCUACGGGAGGCAGCAGUGGGGGAAUUUUUGGACAAUGGGCGCAAGCCUGAUCCAGCAAUGCCGCGUGCAGGAUGAAGG
RNAcentral lists this ribosomal RNA (387 nucleotides) under uncultured bacterium. Its description in RNAcentral is "bacterial SSU rRNA". It matches the Rfam family "Bacterial small subunit ribosomal RNA", at positions 30 to 414 of the family's 1533-position model. The record is from RNAcentral.